Physella acuta is the source of this 466-nucleotide long non-coding RNA. RefSeq lists it as uncharacterized. NCBI's taxonomy places the organism in Eukaryota, Metazoa, Mollusca, Gastropoda, Physidae. The record is from RefSeq and is a predicted model, not a curated record.
AAAAAAAGUUGAAUUACUUACUGGAUUUUUUUUUUAAUAAAAAGGGGAUAUUAUGUCCUUGGUUUAGUUUUCACUCAGGUCAUUUUUGCUGGGCUUUGUAGCUUGAUUUGUGUUCUCCUGACUACCACAUCUACACAAUGGCAAAAAUGACGUCAUUCCUGUUGAUUGGGCUGGUUCUUCUGGCGGUCAGUGCCAUAUGUAAUGCAGAUUCAGAAUGGGAUGAAAGAUAUCAAACUGAUAUCGACUGUGUGAACACCAGAUGUGACCAGGGGCAGAAUGUUCCAGAAUCCCAGAAAGGGUUGGAGGAAGUUCUGGCACCGGAAACAGAACAGGCAUCAUCGACAGAGUUCCCAGCGGACUAGUUUCAAAUUUAAAGCAAACACUGAACAUAUCUAAGGAAAGGUCAAAAGGAAACAGUGAAAAAAACGUUCUUCGUUCUACACAAAAUUUGUUGAACUUCACAAGC